This 253-nucleotide ribosomal RNA is filed under the name uncultured bacterium. RNAcentral describes it as "partial 16S ribosomal RNA". It matches the Rfam family "Bacterial small subunit ribosomal RNA", at positions 524 to 776 of the family's 1533-position model. The record is from RNAcentral.
UACGGAGGAGGCAAGCGUUAUCCGGAAUUAUUGGGCGUAAAGCGUCCGUAGGUGGUUGACCAAGUCUGCUGUCAAAGGGUGGGGCUUAACCUCAUAAAGGCAGUGGAAACUGGUGAGCUAGAGUGCGAUAGGGGUAAGGGGAAUUCCCAGUGUAGCGGUGAAAUGCGUUGAGAUUGGGAAGAACCUCGGUGGCGAAAGCGCCUUGCUGUGCCUGCACUGACACUGAGGGACGAUUGUUACGGGAGCGGCAGGU